This 460-nucleotide ribosomal RNA is filed under the name uncultured bacterium. Its description in RNAcentral is "partial 16S ribosomal RNA". It matches the Rfam family "Bacterial small subunit ribosomal RNA", at positions 338 to 795 of the family's 1533-position model. The record is from RNAcentral.
CCUACGGGUGGCAGCAGUGAGGAAUAUUGGUCAAUGGACGCGAGCCUGAACCAGCCAAGUAGCGUGAAGGAUGACUGCCCUAUGGGUUGUAAACUUCUUUUAUAUGGGAAUAAAAUGUUUCACGUGUGGCAUUUUGUAUGUACCUUAUGAAUAAGAAUCGGCUAACUCCGUGCCAGCAGCCGCGGUAAUACGGAGGAUCCGAGCGUUAUCCGGAUUUAUUGGGUUUAAAGGGAGCGUAGGUGGGUUGUUAAGUCAGUUGUGAAAGUUUGCGGCUCAACCGUAAAAUUGCAGUUGAGACUGGCAGUCUUGAGUACAGUAGAGGUGGGCGGAAUUCGUGGUGUAGCGGUGAAAUGCUUAGAUAUCACGAAGAACUCCGAUUGCGAAGGCAGCCCACUGGACUGCGACUGACACUGAGGCUCGAAAGUGUGGGUAUCAAACAGGAUUAGAUACCCGAGUAGUC